Long non-coding RNA from Orcinus orca (killer whale), 231 nucleotides. RefSeq lists it as uncharacterized. The transcript is spliced from 2 exons. The record is from RefSeq and is a predicted model, not a curated record. Lineage: Eukaryota; Metazoa; Chordata; Mammalia; Artiodactyla; Delphinidae.
UCUAAUAGACUUGAAGCGCGGGCUUCAGGAAACUGAGCCCUUUUCUCUCCUGUAACUCACUUCUUCUUGAAGUCCUCUACCGUGUCCUGCAUCCCCCUGAGCUCUGAGUCCAGACGGCUUCUCUCUGAGACAAGGUAGUCCAGCUGUCUCCUGAGAUUGUUGAUGUACUGCUCGAAAUAAGGCUCCAGGCUCUGCCUCACGGUCUUUGUGCCCUGCUCCUGCAGCAGGGCC